Non-coding RNA from Camellia sinensis, 374 nucleotides. NCBI's taxonomy places the organism in Eukaryota, Viridiplantae, Streptophyta, Magnoliopsida, Ericales, Theaceae. The record is from RefSeq and is a predicted model, not a curated record.
CCAACGGUAACGAUUUGUUUAGGAGAUAAAGAUACUCAGAGGCUUGUGUUGCAUAUGGAGAGGGACUUGACCAUGACCCCUACAACUCGGUGUUGUUGUGCAACAGAGCCACUUGCAGGUCCAAACUCGGUCAAUUUGAGAAAGCAAUCGAGGACUAGACUGCUGCCCUUAAUGUGCUCCCAUCUUACAGGAAAGCCAGAUUAAGAAGAGUCAAUUGCUAUGCCAAGGUUAUGGCAAGCAAGACAAAGAUCUACAUUGUGCUCGAGUAUGUUGGCGGGGGCGAGCUUUUUGACAAAAUAGCCAAACUAGGAAGACUUAAAGAGGAUGAAGCUAGGAGAUAUUUUUAGCAGCUCAUCAAUGUUGUAGACUACUAC